Molecule: ribosomal RNA, 4118 nt
Filed under: Didymium dubium
Lineage: Eukaryota; Evosea; Eumycetozoa; Physariida; Didymiaceae
Description: partial 28S ribosomal RNA
Rfam family: Eukaryotic large subunit ribosomal RNA (bases 1877-2865)
Source: RNAcentral
GAGUAACUAUGACUCUCUUAAGGUAGCCAAAUGCCUCGUCAUCAUACUUGAAAGAGGCCGGCAGUCAGGGGGCUCAGAGGGGGGGUCAGGGGUGCCGCAAGGCUAACCUGAUCCGCCCUCCUAACCCCCCUGACUGCCGGCCAGGAAGCCGCAAGCAAGGAGCAAGGGGAAGGCAGCAGUCGAGGGGAUGGGGAGCCGAAGGUGGUCGAUGGCGAGUAGGGGAGGCGGGUACAACACGGGUCAAACCGUGGCGUACCAGCCGCCUCGAAAGCCUAGCUGGCAAGGCAGGGGUCGACGAGUGGAUAGGAUGGGACGGGCGGGGGGGUGGGGGCGAGAGGUCAAUAGGCAGGUGAUAUGCAGGCUUCGGCUUGCAUGUCCCCUGCUGACGGACCAAUCGCCCUCCCUCCUCCAACCGCUCCAGCCUCCCCACUCGUAGGCCCCUGCCCCAAGGCCGAUCCAGAAGCUCCCCCUCGCCUGGGAAGAAGGUGGUCGAUGGCGAGUAGGGGAGGCGAGUACAACACGGGUCAAACCGUGGCGUACCAGCCGCCUCGAAAGCCUAGCUGGCAAGGCAGGGGUCAACGGGUGGAUAGGAUGGGGUGGGUGGGUGGGGGCGAGACGUAAAUAGGCGGUGAUAUGCAGGCUUCGGCUUGCAUGUCCCUGCUGACUGACCAAUCGCCCCCACCCAGCCUCGCCAGCCUCGCCACACGUGGGCUCCCUGCCCCAAAGCCGAUCCAGAAGCCCUGCUGUGCGAUGGGGGGCUGAAGGUGGUCGAUGGCGAGUAGGGGAGACGGGUACAACACGGGUCAAACCGUGGCGUACCAGCCGCCUCGAAAGCCUAGCUGGCAAGGCAGGGGUCAACGAGUGGAUAGGCUGGGGCGGGUGGGGGGUGGGGGCGAGAGGUAAAUAGGCGGGUGAUAUGCAGGCUUCGGCUUGCAUGUCCCCUGCUGACGGACCAAUCGCCCUCCUCCUCCACCCGCUCCAGCCUCGCCACUCAGAGACCCCUGCCCCAAGGCCGAUCCAGAAGCCCCCACUCGCCUGGGAAGAAGGUGGUCAAUGGUGAGUAGGGGAGGCGGGUACAACACGGGUCAAACCGUGCCGUACCAGCCGCCUCGAAAGCCUAGCUGGCAAGGCAGGGGUCAACGGGUGGAUAGGAUGGGGUGGGUGGGGGCGAGAGGUAAAUAGGCGGGUGAUAUGCAGGCUUCGGCUUGCAUGUCCCCUGCUGACGGACCAAUCGCCCCCACUCAGCCUCGCCAGCCUCGCCACACGUGGGCUCCCUGCCCCAAGGCCGAUCCGGAAGCCCUGCUGUGGGAUGGACGAGGUUUGAAGUAGCACUGGCAAGGGGGACCUCUCCAGUGUGACUGAAAGCCUCGCCUAUCCCACCCUUGUCGCCUUCGGUAGCCAGCGCCGUUCACAGUCACUGGAAAGGCAGGCAACUGCCCCAGUAAGUGACAAGGAAGGUGGGUCUCUCGACUGUAGACGUGGGGGAGUACGUAGGGAACGGGCCUCUAGGGGCCUCGACCCUGCUCUACCCCACCUCUCACAUGAAGGAGGCCUAUCUGCACCCAAUUGCGUGAAGGUUUACCCGUCUGAGCCCAGUCAAAGGACCUCCCCCGCCUGCCCACCAACCUCUCUCGCUUCCCUCUCGGGGGAAGAGGCGGGAGGAAGGGGGGCUCGAGGGGGGAGACUCCGGCGACUGGGGUAGGGUGUACUAACAAGCAGCCAAGCCAAUGUCCAUCCCCAGAUCCAGGGUUCCGAGUGAGCCCUGGGUGGAGUCGAGUGGGGUGGGCUGCGGAGUGGUCAAGAGACUGAAAGGUGCUCUGGACCGGUGAUGCUGGGGGGUCUCGACUCGGAGGGGGUGGGGGGAGAGGGGGACGCGUACGAAGGAACGUGAGGAAGGGCCGUAAGGCCUGGAUUCACGGUCCGGAUGACCCGCCUCCUACCCCCCCACCCCCUCCGAGGCCUCUCAUCACUGGGCCUAGUAGACACAGUCCGUCGCCAGGGGGGGAAAAGCUGUAUAAGCGAGUGGCUUGCGCCCUCGGUGACCGAGCAUACGUGGGGAGAGAGGGCUUCACCGCCCUCGAUCCCACCGCCUGCCUGGGAGCCUUGGGAAGAGCAUUGGCCAGCGGCUCGGAUGCUUUGUACCCCCCGACCGAGACGUUAAUUUGUGACGCGCAUGAAUGGAUUAAUGAGAUUCCCACUGUCCCUACCUACUAUCUAGCGAAACCACAGCCAAGGGAACGGGCUUGGCCCAAUUAGCGGGGAAAGAAGACCCUGUUGAGCUUGACUCUAGGCACAGAAGCGAGGUGAUUCUAAAGGUGUAGCAUAGGUGGGAGGGCCUGGCCCGACCUUGAAAUACCACCACUUUCGACAUUGCUUUGCUAAUGCUGUAACGAAUGGACGGCCCCCUGGUGUCCCAGCUACCUCCGGGUAGUUGGACCACUGGGUAAGGCUUCUUUCUAGCGAUUUCCCGGUCUGAUAUGAUGGCUUGGCCCCUCUGGGUGAGUACUUUGGGACCAUGAGUCGGGCUUCCGAGCCUGGCGAGUGCUGUCUUGGGGGAACCAGAGAAGGUUGGGCUGUCCUCUGUUGGGCCAACGAAGGGUACAUAAGCCGUGUAGCAAACCAUCUGUGUUGGGGAGUUUGGCUGGGGCGGAAAACUGCUACACGGCAACGGCAGUCUCCUAAGGUCCACUCAGAGACGACAGAAACGUCUCGUAGAGCAUAAAGGCAAAAGUGGGCUUAACUUACAUUUUCAGUAGUAAUGUGAAGCAAGAAAUUGAGGCUUAACGAUCCUUAGCGACGGGUGCCAGCCCACGCUUGAGGUGAGAGAAAAGUUACCACAGGGAUUGAUCUAACGGUCGGUGGUCCUCGAGACCACCGAAGCCAGCCACCAGCACGCUCGCGCCCCAGGAACCCCCUGCCAACCCCGUCUCUUCGCCCUCCAGCCGUACCGAGCCAUCAGCAAGGGGGUCAUUCCCUCUGAACACGGCUCGGCUCGACUGGGGGGAGGGUGACGGGGCGAGAGGGGGCGGAUAGGGGAGGCUUGCGUGCCGGUGGGUGGUUAGGCGGGCUCAAGUCUGGACGUGUCUCAACGGAAUAGGGCUGCAGACCUACCCGCGGAGACACUGAAGGGCAACGCACCUCGAUGCGAGGAAGACCUAUUCCAAAUGGCGUCGGUACCGGGCUCUCCCAGUAACACUGGGAGCCUAUGUCGAACCGCCUUUUGCCCUACCAUGCCUUGACCAACCCGCCUCACUCGCCAUUCCUCCCCUUAUCCUCCGUCCAAACCCACCCCCUCACCGGGGUGGGCUUGUCCGGGGGGUAGAGUGGGGGGUGGCGUGUGGGGAGGCGAGGCCGAGGGGGUAGGGCGGAGGGUGGGGAGACCUGGUAAUAACCCGGCGCCAGGGUUCAUUCGCAGGCAACAAGGCUCCGACAAACCCCCCACCGCAACACGCUGUCGUGUUCGCAACCGGGGGGCGGGUAUCGGGGCUGCGUGUCUCAAAGACUGCAAAGGUGUGGGCUGAACUGGGUAUCAAGUGACUCGCCUGAGCGCUCGUUCCCUCUUCUCUCGCUCGGUUUCUCGUGGGGGGGGCUCUCCUUGCCCUUCCCCACCUGCCAAUAUGGUCCGAACUCACGCCUCUUUCGACCCUCACCGGUCGAGAGGGGGGUGGGGGCUAGUCCUGACCUGGUAGGUGGGGAGGGUAGGCGGGGGUUCACUCCAGGGGUCCACCGAGGGGGAGGGGAGGGGUGGGUGCGAUGAUGGAGGGCAUGAUCUUACCCGGCCAGGCAUAAGGUACAGUCUACUCCCGCCCGAAAGGGAUUCCAGCGAGGUGGUCCGUGGGGAGCAACCAACUCCCCGUGGACUGCCGGCUUCGCUCAGCCUCUGAACGAGUACUGCUCACCUCCAGACGCCUGCACUCACCCGUCCCACCCCCCACCAACCUCCCUGUCGACCCGGUAACGGGCCUGCAGGGGGGUUGUGUGGGGGGUUGGGGUGGGUGGGUGUGGGCAGAUGGGGUGGGGUGGGAAAGGGCUCUGGUUGGUCGGGGACCUGGAGGGGCGCAAGCCCUGGGUACUUCCGGAACUGGCUUGUGGCCGCCAAGCGUUCAUAGCGACGUGGC